GCUAAUAUUGGUAGCAUUUGGCUAAUAUUGAUAAUACUUUAUGAAUUGGCUGGAUCAACAUGUGGUAUGUUUGUAAGCUGAAUAUAAACAUGCAACAUGUUGAUAUACUAAAGAGUUUGACUUAAAUAUCACAAAUGCAGAAGUAUAAACGAGUAGCUGACAAGGCUAACACAUAGAAGCCUGCUAACACCUGACUGACUGGACUAUAGUCUACGAAGCCUCUAAAGAAUACUGAAAUGCUAAUUGUUUACCGGGACAAGGUCCCCGACGUACCUUACUAACUGAAAUACUAUAACGACUGAAAAGAAAGGAAUAGCUGAUACGAGAUGUCUUAGCAAGCAGAAUCGUCAAUUUGUAAAUCGUUACCUGCAUCGCGAGAUUCAGGCCUCGGAUAAAAAAGGACGUCAGUACAUUUGAAUUGCACUUGUAUGUAAAACAACUGAAAGAAAGAACUGUAAAUACUAAAACUGAAACUGGCUGAUAACUGAUAAUUGAACUUAGCAAGGAAGUGAAGAUAUGAAUACUCCCUGUUCUGAAUAAGAAAUCACCUAUUUAUUUGAUUAAAUAAUCUGCAACCUCAGGGCCAAUAUACUAUAUAUAUAUAUAUAUAUGUGUGUGUGUGUGUGUGUGUGUGUGUGUGUGUGUGUGUGUGUGUAUAUAUAUAUAUAUAUAUACAUACAUACAUACACACACAUAUACUGCGGCCUCAGACCCAAGUAUACGUAUACAUAACUGCGGCCUCAGGCCCAAAAAUAGGUGUUUAACAUUCAGGGAUUUAAAAUCAGGAACUGAGAAUUAUACUGCAAUACAUGAUACUGAAACACUGAAUCAUAUUGAGUUACAUGAUACUGGAAUGCUGAAUAGAACUAAACUGGGACAUGUAUUCGUAAUAAAAUGAUUUGUCAUAACCGAGACUCAUGGGAUACUGGACGAAUUAUGAAGCCAUGCCAUCUAGAGAAUAGAAGUUCUACAACUAUUCAUGGAACUGGGGCAUAAUAACUUUGAGAGGCAAUUCAUAAUAACCAUAAGAAUGAGACGUAGGGAGAAUCAUAAACAUUCCCAAGCGUAGAGAGUUAGCCUCACAUACCUUGACGCUGGCCUUUUUAACCGUAUCGCAAUGUUCGUCGCCUCUUUCAACGAUAAUCUAUGGCAAUAUUUAUCAAGAGGAACCAUUAUUAACAUUAAGGCUCAUGUUUUGGUUACUUAGAAAUUUUAUCAAACACAUUAUGGGCGUAAAGCCUCAUAACCAUCAUUAAUGGUGUUUUCUUUACCCAAUUCUCAUUCUACUACUUCUAGGUGAUCUACAAUUCCAAAUAGAUAUAACUAACACCAUUUCUCAUCAUCCAAAUGUUUAUAACAAUCUUAAGUCAACAACCCAAAAUCCUAGCACAGUUCAUAUGAUUCCCUUUAUCAAUCCGGUCUACUAUUCUCCCAAAAACUCAUCAAUUCAUAGCUAUAAAUGAUUAGGGAGUAGAAGCAUUACCUUUUUGAAGUUCAAUCCUCUUAAAUUUGAUUUCUAGGGUUUCGUCUCUCAAAGUUGAUGUCUCAAUCGAAUAUCUAAUGAUUUGAAGGGUUUACCCAUAUUAAUAAGAUGUUAGAGAAUUAAAAUUAACUUUGAAUCAUCAUUAGAACUAACCUUGGAUAAUGGAGGGACCUUGGAAGAAGGUAGGUUCUUGAGAGAUUCCCUUUCUAGAGCAAGUUUUCGUGUUUUGGGGUGUGAGGGACGAGGUAGGGCUUUUAAAACAUCUUUCCAGGUGCACGCCCACGCAACUGAAGGCCCAACCGCGCACUUGAACAUGCAGCAAGGCCGCGCACAUGACAGCUGGGCGCGGAGGCUGCACAUUGUCCAAUAAAAUGCGCAUAACUCUUUUCACAGUGAUCCGUACAGGCUCCAUAAUAAAUAAUUAGAAAGUUAUUUCAAAGGGCUACAACUUUAUUGUUUUAUGUUUUCUCAAAUUUGUCACGACACAAUUUAGGAUCAUGAUCGGCGCUUAGGAGCAAGUGCUCCCAAGUAAGCCUCAUCGAUAAUUUACAGAAAAUCGGACAGAGUUUACCCUGUUUUAGGACUAUCCAAAAAUAAACCUGUCUCAGAAAUAAAUAACACAACCAACCUAUAUCGACCAAACAAAUUAUAAUCCUCAUUCGCGAAGUAUUUCCAACACAAUAAUACUAACUUCAUCUCCAAGUAUACGAUAGGAAAGUCUAGUACGAGUCACAAGUCUAAAUCAAUAAAAGAAUAUUUAUGACUUAUAAAAAUGACUAUGGAGAGACUCUAAAAGUUUUAAUAAAGAGACUAUAACAAAUAUAUAACAAUCUUUGCCCACGCGAAUAAAUGCGGGGCUCACCAAAAAUUGUCAACUCGUGUACUCUAACUAACGGAAUCCUCGCCUGCGUCUACUGGUGUCUCUAUAAAAAUAAUAGUGUGGAGUGAGUCGCUAGCUCAGUGAGUAAUAAUACUUAACCACAACUAUUUUUAAUUGGGGACAAGUCAGAAAACAUGCUAGUAUAUCAAACAGAAAAUAUAUUAAGAAUUCCCUUUCUAAAAUGGUAAAUAUAAUCAGUCUUUUCAUGUGUUUUCUGUAACAGAAAUCAAUUGAAACAAAUCAGUAAUAAACUCAAUAAACACUUUCUCAUAGCAAAUCUUUAUGUUUGGGAGGUUUCCAAGAAAGGAUCAUGUAAUCUGUAUCACUGUGUGGACCCCUUCAUCAAAGGAGUCAAAUAUAACUGUAGGUCCCAACUCAAAGAAAAACUAUUAUUAUAUGCUAGUUCUACAUUUUCACUAGCGAGGGAUAUAAUUGUACUCGGUAAUCGGUAAAUAUAAGGUGCACCAGGUCUAACGAACUCGUCGUUAGCUACGGGAUCCUUCAAAGUCUCCUCCCAUUUAUACUCUUUCUUGUAAACAGUAAAUACUCGUACGAAAGCAUUUUCAAAAUAAUAAAGGGCAUAUCAUUUCUUAUCAAAUCUUAUAAUUUUAUUUCGGUAACGGUAAUCAUAUCUCAAGUAACAGUAAAACAUGCAUGUCUAGUAACAGUGAGAAUAAUUUAAUUAACUGUAACAUCUCAAGUAACGGUAAAACAUAUCUAGUAACGGUGAAAAUAUUUAGAUUAACUGGUAAAUAUCUCAAGUAAAUUGUUCGGUACCAUAUCAAGUAAAGGACAUGUCCCACAUGCAAUUUCAAAGCACCAGUAACACAUUUAUUUUCAAAAUCAUAUAUAAACCAUGCAGGUUAUGAAAACACAAAUUGUGGUAAGAUUACUACUCACAAUACUCGUAUCGAAAUAUCAAACUCGUCACUUCGAACAAUCCGUGUGCCUUCCUUCAAUCAAUCUAUAAUCACAUCAUAUUGUUCUCGAAUUAACUUUCUUGUUUAGGCUAAAUUGUAACUAAUUUAGAAUACCCAACUCUCGGAGUUUCAUGUUUGAUUAUCAAUUUGUUAAGUUGGAUUUGUCGAGAUCAUGUGAAAAUAGUUUUAUACCUUAAUCGCAUUCCUUUAAGUCAUAUGUAUAUUUUGAGAGUAAGGCAAGUUACCGUAGAAAAUAUAUUGUUCCAAAUUAUUUUUUUUUGAAAAUUUUAAAACUUGCUUAAGUAAUUAAUUGCACGACAUCUCUAUUAAGAUAGCUUCUUCAAUGAAUUCUUCACUCAAAUAUACAUUAGUAACUCUAUCUCAUUGUGGUAUUUAAAUAAGCUAUUCACAAUCUAUGUAAAUUACUUAAAUUUCAGAAAAGAAGUUAUUAUAGAAUCUGUCCACAUAAUUAAAAUAAAGAGUUUAGAUAUUUACCGCAGUACUCGAAACUCGAAAUUGCUUAGGCUUCAAAGGUGCUAUUGAAACGAUCCUUUCUUGGCUUUCAAAAUUAUUUGUUUGGAGCUUUUCUAUGUUUCCUUCUCUAUAGAAAAGAAAUUCUUUCUCUGUUGGUUUUCUCCAAAUCUAAAGCUUCCAAGAUUGAAGUAUUUAUGUUGUUUUUGGUUCAUAUAAUAACUGUUUAGUGGCUUCUCUUUCGGCAGAAGCUUUAGAAUACGUAAACCCUUCCCUGAACCUCUCUUACUUUUCUCGUUCUAGUGGGCUUUCGCCCUUUCUUUUAAUUGAUUAGAUUUCUCUUCUUUUUUAAAAAAAUUUAAGUCAUGCUUAAAGACCAAUAUACCCUAGCUUGAAUAUGAGAUAUUACAUUCUCCCCACCUUAUAAAAUUCGGUCCCCAAAUUUAGCUCAGUUACAUACCUGUAGACUGAAUAAUAUAAGGAUACUUGACUCGCAUAGCAUCUUCCACUUCCCAUGUAGCUUCUGUAGCUUCUUUUACUGUAUGAUUUCUCCAUAAGACUUUUACGAACAUAUUUCUUUUGGCUAUAACUUCCUAACUUGUCUAUCAACAAUAGCCAUUGGCUCCUCCUCGUAAGACAGCUUCUCAUCGAGCGGUAUAGUUGGUGCUUCAAGCACGUGAGAUGAGUCUCAUAUACAUUUUCUUAGCAUUGGGACAUGAAACACCGGAUCAAUAAAAGACAACUCAGGAGGGAGUACCAAACGAUAUCCCAUACCUCAUAUUCGUUCAAGUAUCUCGCACGGACCUAUAAGCCUCGGGCUCAACUUACCUUUUUUUUUCGAAUCGCAUCACGCCCUUCAUAGUAGAGACUCGUAGAAACACUUUGUCCCCCAAUUGUAAACACUAAGUCUCUUUUUCUCUUAUCCGCAUAAGAUUUUUGUCUUCUUUGAACUGUGAGCAAUCUCUGUCUGAUCAAUUGGGCCUUGUCAAUAGCUUCUCGUACUAAGUCGGGUCCCAAUAAGUUAGUCUCACCAGCAUCAAAGCCUCCGAUAGGAGAACGUCAUCUUCUACCAUAUAAUGCUUCGUACAGUGCCAUCUGAAUACUAGACUAGAAACUAUUGUUGUAAGCAAAUUCAGCUAAAGGUAGAUAAGUGUCCCAACUACCUCCAAACUCAAGAAUGCAAACUCUCAACAUAUCCUCCAAGAUCUGUAUAGAACAUUCGUACUUUGCGUAUGCGUGCGAUGAAAUCAAGUACUAAGAUCUACUCGAGUACCCAACGUUUCUUGAAAAGGUUUUUAAAUCGUGAAGUGAAUGUGAUCCUCUAUUAGAGAUGAUGAACCAUAGAGCUCUACUGAGUUAUAUAAUUUUCUGUUUAUGUAUAUCUGUGCAUAUUUUACCUCACUAUAAGAGGUUUUGACUAGCAAGAAAUGUGCCUACUUUGUAAGCCAAUUUACAACUUUCCCACAUAUAAUCAUAACUCUAAUGGUUUGAGCAAUUUAGUCAUAUAAUGUAUUGUAAUUCUAUUAUAUUUUCACUUCAGAAUCUUGAGUUGUUGUAUUGGGCCUGUGAGUCGUAAGUGCUUGCCUUAACAUGCUGACAUGUCAAAUAGUUAGAAACAAAGUUAACGGUUUUUUUUUCCUUCUAUCUUUUCCAACCAAACAUUUUUUUAUAGUCAUGGUGCAUCUUAUUGACCUGAGAUAUACAGUGUAUUUAGAGUUGUGAACUCCAUCACAGAUAGUCUAUCUAAACCCAUAUAUGUUUGCUACACAUAAUUAAUUAUCUAGUCGGAUAAUACCCUCACUAUUAACAGUCAUAUCCUUGCUUUUACCAGCUAGAAACUAAUCUUGAUAGUUAAACAAUCGCUCAUCCUCGUAUUGGCUAGUCUUUAUGCACUCUACAUCAGGCUUUACCAAUAACCAAUAAUGCCUUUGAAUUUUUUUUCACAUUGAAUCUAAUACGUGUACCCUCUAGUCUAUGCAUAUCUUUGUCCAGAAAUAUCUUUACAGAAGCUAUAUGUGCCAAAUCACCCAUAUUUGUUUUUCAUAAGCUAUAAUAUUUAUCUUUCCCGAAUAAUACAAAACAGUACAAUUAUAUCUUCAGUAGUUCCCUCCAUCAGCAUUGAUAAAUAUUUAUAUCUCUAUUGGUUUUAAAUGUACUUCAGGCUUUUGUGCUAGGUAUAAUUCUUAUAGGUUUCUUCGUAUAAAUAGUGUUUCUAAAUCUUAAAAGGAAAUACCACUAUGACCAUCUCCAAAUCAUGAGUGGCAUAAUACAACUUGAGCUUCUUCAAUUUCCUUGAAACAUAGGCUAACAUUGGUGUGAUUGUCAAAUAUGCUUUGGGCUUCUGGAAUCUCGUUGUACAUUCUUCCACCCACUGAAAUUUAGUGAUUUUCUAUGUUAACUUGGUGAGUGGUGGUGCUAUUCUAGAUAAAUCCUACACAAAUGCCUAUAGUAGGCUGUCAAGCCAAAAGCAAUUUCUGUAGGAGAAAUGGGUCUUGACCAUUUAUGAACUGCUUCUAUCUUAUUUGAAGGUACCAUCUUUUCAUUCUUAGAUACAAUGUGUCAUAUGAAUACCACUGAGUCUAGCUAAUUGAAGAACUUGGUAAAAAGUUGAUUUCUCUGCAGCGUCUUUAACAUAUUUUCAAGUAAUUCCCGUGCUCUUCCUGGGUACGAGAAUAUACCAGAAUAUAGUAAGUAAAAACUAUGACUUUUUUUUUUCCAAAAAUAACUUUGAGCACCAUAGUCAUUAUAUACAUCCAUGCAGUUGGAGCAUUGGCCAAUCUAAAAGACAUCACAAGUAACUCAUAUGUUUGUACCGAGUACUAGAGGCAAACAUUGAAAUAUCUUCCUUUCUUAUUCUAAGCUGAUGAUAACCAGACUAAGGAUCAAUGGCUCCUUGUAACUGAUCAAACAAGUUAUCUAUACAAGACAAGGGAUAUUUGUUGUGUAUUGUUAUCUUAUUUAAUUAUCUGUAGUUGGUGCACAUUCUUAAAGACUUAUCCCUUUUUUCUUCAAACAAUAUUAGUGUACCCCAUGGCGCAACACUCAAUACGAUAAAACCCGUAUCCAGCAAGUCUCGCAAUUGUUCAUUAACUCUCUCAAUUCGUUGGUGCCAUAUGAUACAGUUUACGUGUCAGGUGUCAAAUCAAUACCGAAGUCUAUUUCUCCUAUUCGAGGUAGUCCUGAAAAAUCUCUCACUAUGAUACUUUUAUUUUUCAACCUAAGUUUCACAUUUCUUGGAUCUCUUUACGAAAGUUACGAGACCCUAACCACUCUUAUUCACUAAUUGUAGAGCCUUCUUAAAUGAUAUAACCUCGACUAUCACUAGGAUAUGAUUCUUUCUUCUUCUUCUUCUUCUUCUUCUUCUUCUUCUUCUUCUUCUUCUUCUUUUUUUACAAAUAGGUUUGCUAGAUAUAUCAAUGUUACUACCUUCUCAUGGUAAUAAAAGGUAAUGUAAUAAUAUAAUAAUCAAUCACAUCUAUAAGCAUGUCAAAUUAACAAGGUCAAGUACAAUUUGGCUAGAUAGUGUAUCCUCUCUCUCAACUUGAAUCUAAUAAGCUUAAUAUAAAGUUUCAAAUGUACAAGAUUCUUCCAUAAAAGUAGCAACUAUUAAACGAUAUCAUAAUAUCUCAAGAUGUUAUUUAUCUAACUCUUCGUCCUAUAUAAGAAAAAUAAAUUUAUAUUGCGAGAUUUCCUAGUCUCUACCUUCUUAAAUGAAUUCUUAGUUGCAUGACAAUCACAUCCAGUUCUUAAAUAUUUUCUUUUCCUAACAAGUUCAACUUCCACAGAAUAAGUCAGAGUCUUCGUAUGUGAGAGUAUUGCUUUAUUUUUAAAUGGUUAACCAACCAUUAGACAAGCCUCUAGUCCUAAGGCAUCACAUACCUAGCCAGCUGAUAAAGUCUGGUGUCACAUGUCAGUACAUCCAUCGUUUGAAUUAAUUUCUUAAGUACCUGUCCGGUUUGAGCUUUCGACUAUCGAGAAGGAAAUGAUUCAUAAAAGGUUUACUAAACUUACUUCUAAGUCAAUUGUGUCACUCCUAACCGCGUCCCUAAUAAUAUGGUUCCAUUUCAUAUAUUCGUCAUAUACUCCAGGCGAUAAGUUGCUAGCUCCACAGGCUUCUCGCGGGAAUAUUUUAGAGCUCAUAAUGCUUUAAGUGUUUUUCCAAAACCUUUAAGGAUGCUUAAAGUGUCAGAAAAAGUAAACUUUGUGGUUUCAAUUUUUAGUAACUAUAUUAAGAAUACAUCUAUGCUCCAGACGAUCUUAGUACUGAAUGCCUAAAGCUUUUAUAUCCCUAAUCUAUUACAAGUUUUUUGUCCUGUCUACCAAUUAUAUUUAUCAAGCUCUUAAUUAUUCUCUACAUAGAGGUAAGAAUCUCAAUGAUACUAAUCUCCUAGCCAUAGUUGUGGUCUAGUGCUUAAUUCAAGAGUAGAUAUUAUUACAUAUUUUAGCGGUAUGAAAGCCCCUCAUUGUGGCACAACAAUCUUUUCAUUGGCCUUGCUUACUUUUCUAUUGCUUUCCUUUGGUGGGAGACAAUUAUUAUCCAGUGGAGGCAAUUUAAUGUCUUUAAACCUCUAGCCAAACUCUAUCAUUGAAUGACUGGUCCGUGCCAUACAGAAACAAGAUAAAAGGUGAUGUUUAGUUAUUUGACCCUAAUCGUCACACAUGUACGGGGGAACGAGAAACAAGACAAGACAAGACACAUCCUAUCACAUCCUCGCAGAUUCACGAUUAUGGGAAUGUUCGGCUACAUAACCAUAAUUGAGAUUCUACUAUCGAUGUGUGCUCCAUUAGUCAGAAGAAUAACCUAGGCUCUUAUACCAAUUUUGUCACGACCCAAUUUAGGAUCAUGGCCGGCGCUUAGGAGCAAGUGCUCCCAAGUAAGCCUCAUCGGUAAUUUAUAAAAAAUCGGACAGAGUUUUCCCUAUUUUAGGACUAUCCAAAAAUAAACCUGUCUCAGAAAUCAACAACACAACCAACCUAUAUCGACCAAACAAGUUAUAAUCCCCAUUCGCGAAGUAUUUCCAAUAUAAUAAUACUAACUUCAUCUCCAGUAUACGAUAGAAAAGUCUAAUACGAGUCACAAGUCUAUAUCAAUAAAAGAAUAUCUAUUACUCAUAAAAAUGACUAUGUAGAGACUCUAAGAGUUUUAAGAAAGAGACUAUAACAAAUAAAUAAUAAUCUUUGCCCACACGAAUAAAUGCGUGGCUCACCAGGAAUUGUCAACUCGUGUACUCCAACUAAUGGAAUCCUCGCCUGCAUCUACUGCUGUCUCUGUAAAAAUAAUAGCGGGGAGUGAGUCGCUAGCUCAGUGAAUAAUAAUACUUAACCACAACUGUUUUUAAUUGGGAACAAGUCAGAAAACAUACUAGUAUAUCAAACAGAAAAAAUCAUAAGAAUGCCCUUUCUAAAACGGUAAAUAUAAUCAGUCUUUUCAUGUGUUUCCUGUAACAGAAAUCAAUUUAACAAAUCGGUAAUAAACUCAAUAAACACUUUCUCAUAGCAAAUCUUUAUGUUUGGGAGGUUUUCAAGAAAGGAUCAUGUAAUCUGUAUCACUGUGUGGACCCCUUCGUCAAAGGAGUCAAAUAUAACUGUAGGUCCCUACUCGAGGGAAAACUAUUAUUGUAUGCUAGUUCUACCUUCUCACUAGCGAGGGCUAUAAUUGUACUCGAUAAUCGGUAAAUACAAGGUGCACCACAUCUAACGAACCUGUCGUUAGCUACGGGAUCCUUCAAAGUCUCCUUCCAUUUAUACUCUUUCUUGUAAACAGUAAAUACUCGUACGAAAGUAUUUUCAAAAUAAUAAAGCGCAUAACAGUAAAACAUGCAUGUCUAGUAAUAGUGAGAAUAAUUUAAAUAACUGUAACAUCUAAAGUAACGGUAAAACAUAUCUAGUAACGGUGAAAACAUUUAGAUUAACCGGUAAACAUCUCAAGUAAAUUGUUCGGUACCAUGUCAAGUAAAGAACUUGUCCCACGUGCAAUUUUAAAGCAUCAGUAACACAUUUAUUUUCAAAAUCAUAUAUAAACCAUGCAAGUUAUGAAAACACAAAUUGUGGUAAGAUUAUUACUCACAAUACUCGUGUCGAAAUAUUAAACUUGUCACUUCGAACAAUCCGUGCGCCUUCCUUCAAUCAAUCUAUAAUCACAUCAUAUUGUUCUCGAAUUAACUUUCUUGUUUAGGCUAAUUUGUAACUAAUUUAGAAUACCCAACUCUCGGAGUUUCAUGUUUGAUUAUCAAUUUGUCAAGUUGGAUUUGUCGAGAUCACGUAAAAAUAGUUUUAUAUCUUGAUCGCAUUCCUUUAAGUCAUAUGUAUACUUUGAGAGUAAGGCAAGUUACCGUAGAAAAUAUACUGUUCCAAAUUAUGAUUUUUUAAAAAUUUUAAAACUUGCUUAAGUAAUUAAUUACACCAUAACUCUAUCAAGAUAGUUUCUUCAAUGAAUUCUUCACUCAAAUAUACACCAGUAACUCUAUCUCUUUGUGGUAUUUAAAUAAGCUAUUCACAAUCUAUGUAAAUUGCUUAAAUUUCAGAAAAGAAGUUAUUAAAGAAUCUAUCCACAUAACUAAAAUAAAGAGUUUAGAUAUUUACCGCAAUACUCGAAACUUGAAAGUGCUUAGGCUUCAAAGGUGCUAUUGAAACGAUCCAUUCUUGGCUUUCAAAAUUAUUUGUGUGGAGCUUUUCUAUGUUUCCUUCUCUAUAGAAAAGAAAUUCUUUCUCUGUUGGUUUUCUCCAAAACUAAAGCUUCCAAGAUUGAAGUAUUUAUGUUGUUUUUUGUUCAUAUAGCAACUGUUUGGUGGCUUCUCUUUCGGCAGAAGUUUUAGAAUACGUAAACCCUUCUCUGAACCCCUUUUUCUUUUCUCGUUCUAGUGGGCUUU
This 10623-nucleotide long non-coding RNA is filed under the name Nicotiana tabacum (common tobacco). RNAcentral's name for it is "long non-coding RNA (NTAB_LNC003408)". Lineage: Eukaryota; Viridiplantae; Streptophyta; Magnoliopsida; Solanales; Solanaceae. The record is from RNAcentral.